This 60-nucleotide non-coding RNA is filed under the name Anoxybacteroides amylolyticum. Its description in RNAcentral is "Anoxybacillus amylolyticus Fluoride sequence". It matches the Rfam family "Fluoride riboswitch aptamer (crcB RNA motif)". The record is from Rfam by way of RNAcentral. Lineage: Bacteria; Bacillati; Bacillota; Bacilli; Caryophanales; Anoxybacillaceae.
ACUUGAAUAGGCGAUGGAGUUCGCCAUAAUUGCCGGAAGGCUGAUGACUCCUACCAGUUG